Molecule: long non-coding RNA, 1173 nt
Organism: Lepidothrix coronata (blue-crowned manakin)
Lineage: Eukaryota; Metazoa; Chordata; Aves; Passeriformes; Pipridae
Exons: 3
Source: RefSeq, a predicted model, not a curated record
GGGACCUGGUUUGGUGGCACUGCUGGGAUUCGCUCACCUGGCUCGGGGGGUGACACGUGUGAGGUGGCACCAGGUGGCAUCGGUGGCCUCCUGAGAGCACCUGGAGGGACCUGGUUUGGUGGCACUGACAGGACUCGGUCACCUGGCAUGGGGGUGACACAAGUGAGGUGGCACCGAUGGGAUUCGGUCACCUCCCAGGGACCAGGGGGACACAGGUCAGGUGGCACCAGGUGGCACCAGGUGGUCUCUGUCACCUCCCUCAGUCCUGGAGGGACCAAGGGGACACAGGUGAGGUGGCACUGGGUGACCUUGGUGGCCUCCUGGAAGCACCUGGAGGGACCUGGUUUGGUGGCACCGCUGGGAUUCGCUCACCUGGCUCGGGGGUGACACGUGUGAGGUGGCACCAGGUGGCACUGGGUGGCCUCGGUGGCCUCCUGAGAGCACCUGGAGGGACCCAGGGGGUGGCACUGACAGGACUCGGUCACCUGGCAUGGGGGUGACACGUGUGAGGUGCCACCGAUGGGGUUCAGUCACCUCCCAGGGACCAGGGGGACACAGGUCAGGUGGUACCGGGUGGCCUUGGUGGCCUCCUGGAAGCACCUGGAGGGACCUGGUUUGGUGGCACCGCUGGGACUCGGUCACCUGGCUUGGGGGUGACACGUGUGAGGUGGCACCGGGUGGCACCAGGUGGCCUCAGUCACCUCCCUCAGCCCUGGAGGGACCAGGGGGACACAGGUGAGGUGGCACCGGGUGGCCUUGGUGGCCUCCUGGAAGCACCUGGAGGGACCUGGUUUGGUGGCACCGCUGGGAUUUGCUCACCUGGCCCGGGGGUGACACGUGUGAGGUGGCACCAGGUGGCACUGGGUGGCCUUGGUGGCCUCCUGAGAGCACCUGGAGGGACCAGGGGGACACAGGUGAGGUGGCACCAGGUGUCCUUUGUCACCUCCCCCUGUCAGUGCCAUCCCUGGGGGUGACACAGGUGAGGUGGCACCGGGUGGCACCAGGUGACCUUGGUCACCUCCCAGGGACCAGGGGGACACGUGUGAGGUGGCACCAGGUGGUACCAGGUGGUCUCUGUCACCUCCCCCUGUCAGUGCCAUCCCUGGGGGUGACACAGGUGAGGUGGCACCGGGUGGCACCAGGUCACCUGCCCCUGUCAGUGCCAUCCCCGGG